Molecule: ribosomal RNA, 492 nt
Filed under: uncultured bacterium
Lineage: Bacteria
Description: partial 16S ribosomal RNA
Rfam family: Bacterial small subunit ribosomal RNA
Source: RNAcentral
AGUGAACGCUGGCGGUAGGCCUAACACAUGCAAGUCGAACGGCAGCACAGUAAGAGCUUGCUCUUACGGGUGGCGAGUGGCGGACGGGUGAGGAAUACAUCGUAAUCUACUUUUUCGUGGGGGAUAACGUAGGGAAACUUACGCUAAUACCGCAUACGACCUACGGGUGAAAGCAGGGGAUCUUCGGACCUUGCGCGAUUGAAUGAGCCGAUGUCGGAUUAGCUAGUUGGCGGGGUAAAGGCCCAGCAAGGCGACGAUCCGUAGCUGGUCUGAGAGGAUGAUCAGCCGCACUGGAACUGAGACACGGUCCAGACUCCUACGGGAGGGAGCAGAGGGGAAUAUUGGACAAUGGGCGCAAGCCUGAUCCAGCCAUACCGCGUGGGUGAAGAAGGCCUUCGGGUUGUAAAGCCCUUUUGUUGGGAAAGAAAAGCAGCAGGUUAAUACCCCGCUGUUCUGACGGUACCCAAAGAAUAAGCACCGGCUAACUUCGUG